GGACCCGCACAAGUAGUGGAGCAUGUGGUUUAAUUCGAAGAUACGCGCAGAACCUUACCAACACUUGACAUGUUCGUCGCGACUUUAAGAGAUUAGAGUUUUCGGUUCGGCCGGACGAAACACAGGUGCUGCAUGGCUGUCGUCAGCUCGUGUCGUGAGAUGUUGGGUUAAGUCCCGCAACGAGCGCAACCCUCACUUUUAGUUGCCAUCAUUUAGUUGGGCACUCUGAAAGAACUGCCAGUGAUAAGCUGGAGGAAGGUGGGGAUGACGUCAAGUCCUCAUGGCCCUUACGUGUUGGGCUACACACGUGCUACAAUGGCAUUCACAAUAGGAAGCAAGACGGCGACGUCAAGCAAAUCCUAAAAAGAUGCCUCAGUUCGGAUUGUACUCUGCAACUCGAGUACAUGAAGCUGGAAUU
This 418-nucleotide ribosomal RNA is filed under the name uncultured bacterium. Its description in RNAcentral is "bacterial SSU rRNA". It matches the Rfam family "Bacterial small subunit ribosomal RNA", at positions 917 to 1333 of the family's 1533-position model. The record is from RNAcentral.